GACGAACGCUGGCGGCGUGCUUAACACAUGCAAGUCGAACGGAAAGGCCCUGCUUUUGUGGGGUGCUCGAGUGGCGAACGGGUGAGUAACACGUGAGUAACCUGCCCUUGACUUUGGGAUAACUGCGGGAAACUGGGGCUAAUACCGGAUAGGAGCUCCUGCUGCUUGGUGGGGGUUGGAAAGUUUCGGCGGGUGGGGAUGGACUCGCGGCUUAUCAGCUUGUUGGUGGGGUAGUGGCUUACCAAGGCUUUGACGGGUAGCCGGCCUGAGAGGGUGACCGGCCACAUUGGGAUUGAGGUGCGGCCCAGACUCCUACGGGAGGCAGCAGUGGAGAAUAUUGCACAAUGGGCGGAAGCCUGAUGCAGCAACGCCGCGUGCGGGAUGACGGCCUUCGGGUUGUAAACCGCUUUCGCCUGUGACGAAGCGUGAGUGACGGUAAUGGGUAAAGAAGCACCGGCUAACUACGUG
This 468-nucleotide ribosomal RNA is filed under the name uncultured bacterium. RNAcentral's name for it is "partial 16S ribosomal RNA". It matches the Rfam family "Bacterial small subunit ribosomal RNA", at positions 28 to 507 of the family's 1533-position model. The record is from RNAcentral.